UAAGCGACUAAGCGUACACGGUGGAUGCCCUGGCAGUCAGAGGCGAUGAAGGACGUGCUAAUCUGCGAUAAGCGUCGGUAAGGUGAUAUGAACCGUUAUAACCGGCGAUUUCCGAAUGGGGAAACCCAGUGUGAUUCGUCACACUAUCAUUAACUGAAUCCAUAGGUUAAUGAGGCGAACCGGGGGAACUGAAACAUCUAAGUACCCCGAGGAAAAGAAAUCAACCGAGAUUCCCCCAGUAGCGGCGAGCGAACGGGGAGCAGCCCAGAGCCUGAAUCAGUGUGUGUGUUAGUGGAAGCGUCUGGAAAGGCGCGCGAUACAGGGUGACAGCCCCGUACACAAAAAUGCACAUACUGUGAGCUCGAUGAGUAGGGCGGGACACGUGGUAUCCUGUCUGAAUAUGGGGGGACCAUCCUCCAAGGCUAAAUACUCCUGACUGACCGAUAGUGAACCAGUACCGUGAGGGAAAGGCGAAAAGAACCCCGGCGAGGGGAGUGAAAAAGAACCUGAAACCGUGUACGUACAAGCAGUGGGAGCACGCUUAGGCGUGUGACUGCGUACCUUUUGUAUAAUGGGUCAGCGACUUAUAUUCUGUAGCAGGGUUAACCGAAUAGGGGAGCCGAAGGGAAACCGAGUCUUAACUGGGCGUUAAGUUGCAGGGUAUAGACCCGAAACCCGGUGAUCUAGCCAUGGGCAGGUUGAAGGUUGGGUAACACUAACUGGAGGACCGAACCGACUAAUGUUGAAAAAUUAGCGGAUGACUUGUGGCUAGGGGGUGAAAGGCCAAUCAAACCGGGAGAUAGCUGGUUCUCCCCGAAAGCUAUUUAGGUAGCGCCUCGUGAAUUCAUCUCCGGGGGUAGAGCACUGUUUCGGCAAGGGGGUCAUCCCGACUUACCAACCCGAUGCAAACUGCGAAUACCGGAGAAUGUUAUCACGGGAGACACACGGCGGGUGCUAACGUCCGUCGUGAAGAGGGAAACAACCCAGACCGCCAGCUAAGGUCCCAAAGUCAUGGUUAAGUGGGAAACGAUGUGGGAAGGCCCAGACAGCCAGGAUGUUGGCUUAGAAGCAGCCAUCAUUUAAAGAAAGCGUAAUAGCUCACUGGUCGAGUCGGCCUGCGCGGAAGAUGUAACGGGGCUAAGCCAUGCACCGAAGCUGCGGCAGCGACACUGUGUGCGUUGUUGGGUAGGGGAGCGUUCUGUAAGCCUGCGAAGGUGUGUUGUGAGGCAUGCUGGAGGUAUCAGAAGUAGCGAAUGCUGACAUAAGUAACGAUAAAGCGGGUGAAAAGCCCGCUCGCCGGAAGACCAAGGGUUCCUGUCCAACGUUAAUCGGGGCAGGGUGAGUCGACCCCUAAGGCGAGGCCGAAAGGCGUAGUCGAUGGGAAACAGGUUAAUAUUCCUGUACUUGGUGUUACUGCGAAGGGGGACGGAGAAGGCUAUGUUGGCCGGGCGACGGUUGUCCCGGUUUAAGCGUGUAGGCUGGUUUUCCAGGCAAAUCCGGAAAAUCAAGGCUGAGGCGUGAUGACGGGGCACUACGGUGCUGAAGCAACAAAUGCCCUGCUUCCAGGAAAAGCCUCUAAGCAUCAGGUAACAUCAAAUCGUACCCCAAACCGACACAGGUGGUCAGGUAGAGAAUACCAAGGCGCUUGAGAGAACUCGGGUGAAGGAACUAGGCAAAAUGGUGCCGUAACUUCGGGAGAAGGCACGCUGAUAUGUAGGUGAAGUCCCUCGCGGAUGGAGCUGAAAUCAGUCGAAGAUACCAGCUGGCUGCAACUGUUUAUUAAAAACACAGCACUGUGCAAACACGAAAGUGGACGUAUACGGUGUGACGCCUGCCCGGUGCCGGAAGGUUAAUUGAUGGGGUCAGCGCAAGCGAAGCUCUUGAUCGAAGCCCCGGUAAACGGCGGCCGUAACUAUAACGGUCCUAAGGUAGCGAAAUUCCUUGUCGGGUAAGUUCCGACCUGCACGAAUGGCGUAAUGAUGGCCAGGCUGUCUCCACCCGAGACUCAGUGAAAUUGAACUCGCUGUGAAGAUGCAGUGUACCCGCGGCAAGACGGAAAGACCCCGUGAACCUUUACUAUAGCUUGACACUGAACAUUGAGCCUUGAUGUGUAGGAUAGGUGGGAGGCUUUGAAGUGUGGACGCCAGUCUGCAUGGAGCCGGCCUUGAAAUACCACCCUUUAAUGUUUGAUGUUCUAACGUUGACCCGUAAUCCGGGUUGCGGACAGUGUCUGGUGGGUAGUUUGACUGGGGCGGUCUCCUCCUAAAGAGUAACGGAGGAGCACGAAGGUUGGCUAAUCCUGGUCGGACAUCAGGAGGUUAGUGCAAUGGCAUAAGCCAGCUUGACUGCGAGCGUGACGGCGCGAGCAGGUGCGAAAGCAGGUCAUAGUGAUCCGGUGGUUCUGAAUGGAAGGGCCAUCGCUCAACGGAUAAAAGGUACUCCGGGGAUAACAGGCUGAUACCGCCCAAGAGUUCAUAUCGACGGCGGUGUUUGGCACCUCGAUGUCGGCUCAUCACAUCCUGGGGCUGAAGUAGGUCCCAAGGGUAUGGCUGUUCGCCAUUUAAAGUGGUACGCGAGCUGGGUUUAGAACGUCGUGAGACAGUUCGGUCCCUAUCUGCCGUGGGCGCUGGAGAACUGAGGGGGGCUGCUCCUAGUACGAGAGGACCGGAGUGGACGCAUCACUGGUGUUCGGGUUGUCAUGCCAAUGGCACUGCCCGGUAGCUAAAUGCGGAAGAGAUAAGUGCUGAAAGCAUCUAAGCACGAAACUUGCCCCGAGAUGAGUUCUCCCUGACUCCUUGAGAGUCCUGAAGGAACGUUGAAGACGACGACGUUGAUAGGCCGGGUGUGUAAGCGCAGCGAUGCGUUGAGCUAACCGGUACUAAUGAACCGUGAGGCUUAACCU
This 2902-nucleotide ribosomal RNA is filed under the name Escherichia coli DEC11E. Its description in RNAcentral is "bacterial LSU rRNA". It matches the Rfam family "Bacterial large subunit ribosomal RNA". Lineage: Bacteria; Pseudomonadati; Pseudomonadota; Gammaproteobacteria; Enterobacterales; Enterobacteriaceae. The record is from RNAcentral.